This 637-nucleotide ribosomal RNA is filed under the name Streptomyces acrimycini. RNAcentral's name for it is "bacterial SSU rRNA". It matches the Rfam family "Bacterial small subunit ribosomal RNA", at positions 96 to 746 of the family's 1533-position model. The record is from RNAcentral. Lineage: Bacteria; Bacillati; Actinomycetota; Actinomycetes; Kitasatosporales; Streptomycetaceae.
UGGCGAACGGGUGAGUAACACGUGGGCAAUCUGCCCUGCACUCUGGGACAAGCCCUGGAAACGGGGUCUAAUACCGGAUACUGAGGUCCGCAGGCAUCUGUGGUUCUCGAAAGCUCCGGCGGUGCAGGAUGAGCCCGCGGCCUAUCAGCUUGUUGGUGAGGUAACGGCUCACCAAGGCGACGACGGGUAGCCGGCCUGAGAGGGCGACCGGCCACACUGGGACUGAGACACGGCCCAGACUCCUACGGGAGGCAGCAGUGGGGAAUAUUGCACAAUGGGCGAAAGCCUGAUGCAGCGACGCCGCGUGAGGGAUGACGGCCUUCGGGUUGUAAACCUCUUUCAGCAGGGAAGAAGCGAAAGUGACGGUACCUGCAGAAGAAGCGCCGGCUAACUACGUGCCAGCAGCCGCGGUAAUACGUAGGGCGCGAGCGUUGUCCGGAAUUAUUGGGCGUAAAGAGCUCGUAGGCGGCUUGUCGCGUCGGUUGUGAAAGCCCGGGGCUUAACCCCGGGUCUGCAGUCGAUACGGGCAGGCUAGAGUUCGGUAGGGGAGAUCGGAAUUCCUGGUGUAGCGGUGAAAUGCGCAGAUAUCAGGAGGAACACCGGUGGCGAAGGCGGAUCUCUGGGCCGAUACUGACGC